GUUCUGAGUGGAGCACAGAGUGACGUCUCUCUGGAGGCUCGUCAUCUACUCUGCAUUUUCAGUGCACUCAUUCAUUUUUUAACACCCACUUUUUCCUUUCAGGGUCAGCCUACCCAAGUAAGGACUGGGUGGAAGGAAGAGAAGCAUCCCAGACAGGCAGCUGAUGAUGUGAGGGGCGAGCGAAGAACAACAUCCACACUCCACAUCAACAGCAAACCAAACAGGUGACCAGAUGCCUUUUACAAAACCAGGAUUUGACACAGAAUCUCCAAUUGGCAAGAUCGGCUCCACAUAAUGAAAACCGGAGGCAACCUAACGGUGAGAUUCAACACGUGCACACAGUCCUUCAUAAGCACACCCACACAACAAAUCCUUUGCAAACCAUCAAACAAAUGAUGCACCUUAGCUCUUGUGCAGACUCAUCAGUAAGUGUGCGCCGUAGGGCUGAGCAGCUCCAGUUUGCAUGUUAACUCGACCCAGCCUUCCGGACAGAGCAUGAAAAGCAGCUGCAGGUCGCUGACGGAGGCUGAACGGCUAUUUGAGCAAUUCUACUGUACAUUUAACAUGGACACACUGACGUGAGAUGGCAUAAUCACAACACCCCCCUCCCCACACACACACACACACACACACAUUCACAUGAAGCCAUAUUCAUGUCGUGCCAUUUUUAAAGUCAUGAAUAUUUACUUAAUUACUUGAUAAAAAUCCAUAACUGUCCAUUUAGUAGCUGUUGAGAGAUUUGAGUCACCAGCCCCAGCGCCUUGCUAGUGGCUGAAAACCAUUAAAUUGGAACAAAUGUGCAAAUAUGACUUCAAAUGAAUGUUUUUCAUGCUAAUGCCUGACAUACACUCUGUGACAUUGAGAGAGAACAAAGGCGAUGCAGAGUGAGGUCUGACAACAACAUGAACGGGGUGACGCCUGCAGCCACUUUAGGAAAACAAGUUGACUUCUUACCGACAGCUCUGAUUUUUAUCAUUGACCCCCUGAUCUCCCACUGUGGCCAGCUUCAAGUAUCUGCUUUUGGAGAGUGAAGGGGUCAGGGCCUGUACCAGCUCCAGCAAAUGCGAUUUGUUUAAUCAGGUGAAAAAAUCAGGUACUUUACAUGAGCGACUAGAAGAAGAGACUGAAGUCUCGAUUAAAGACACCACACACCGAACUUGAUCAGGUGGAUGAGAACUGUAGACUACAGGGACUGUUUAACUUUCCCUAGAUGGCUCUUUACUGGACAUCUGCCAUGGGGUCAAACUGCUGUGGUUAAGUC
This is a long non-coding RNA of Scophthalmus maximus (turbot), 1261 nucleotides long. The record is from Ensembl. NCBI's taxonomy places the organism in Eukaryota, Metazoa, Chordata, Actinopteri, Pleuronectiformes, Scophthalmidae.